UACGUAGGGGGCAAGCGUUGUCCGGAAUCAUUGGGCGUAAAGAGCGUGUAGGCGGCUUGGUAAGUCCGCUGUGAAAGUCCAGGGCUCAACCCUGGAAUGCCGGUGGAAACUGUCAGGCUAGAGUGCGGAAGAGGCGAGUGGAAUUCCUGGUGUAGCGGUGAAAUGCGCAGAUAUCAGGAGGAACACCAAUUGCGAAGGCAGCUCGCUGGGACGUUACUGACGCUGAGACGCGAAGGCGUGGGGAGCGAACAGG
Molecule: ribosomal RNA, 253 nt
Filed under: uncultured bacterium
Lineage: Bacteria
Description: partial 16S ribosomal RNA
Rfam family: Bacterial small subunit ribosomal RNA
Source: RNAcentral